UCUCCUGUAGCUCAGUGGUAGAGCGUCCGACCGGUGCGCGGAAGGUCAUAGGUUCGACUCCUGUUGGGGGAA
Desmophyllum pertusum is the source of this 72-nucleotide non-coding RNA. NCBI's taxonomy places the organism in Eukaryota, Metazoa, Cnidaria, Anthozoa, Scleractinia, Caryophylliidae. The record is from the annotation of a GenBank genome assembly.